CUGGGCAGGCAGUGACAAGCGAAAACGAGUCUUAGGAAGCGAAUAUUUGAGUGUGUGGUGUGUGAUUAAUAAUGUUUUUAAUAAGAAUAAUUUAAAAUAUUUCACCACAAGAAUUUAAGUAACAGCAGAGCAAUAUUAUCGAUUGAUGAUAAAUAAGAAUGGAAGAGUGUUCAUUUUGAUGCAACUGAAAAAGCAAGUGGCAAACAACAAAAAAAUGGUGUUCGUUUCAUUUUGGAGGAUCUUCUAUUACGAACAUUGGUUGUGUCAGUGUUCUAUCCAGAAAGUAGAUGUCCUAAAAAGAAGCACAAAAGUGCCUUUUUUCUACAGGGAGAGCACAGGGUACCAUUGCUAAGGGAAAGAUUUAUGACGAAUGGACUGAUUGUCCAAGUGAAGAGAAAUUACAGCUAAUUCUGAUGGUACUGAAAGAGUCGAUGAUUUUGACGUCUUACCCUUGCAACAUAAUUUUGCACCUGAGAUGGGGAGACAUUUGAAAAUUACUUUGGAAACGACUAAAACAACAACUUGUCUGCAGUGGUAUUCCUCCUGAAUUUGGCUUGUUCAUUCUACGUGUGGACCUUAGAAAGCUACUUUCUGCAGAUAAUUAAGAUUGUCCAACAAAUGAGUUCAGUUUGGCGGUACUCGAACAACCGUCUACAUGGGUGUGGUCUUUUCAGGACUUUGUUCCUGAUUUGAUAUUUUUAUCUUCACUUUGCAACACCAUGCAGUUGAUUUUCGACCGAUUAGUGGGAGCAACUAAGGAUCUAUUUGAUUUCAAAUGGCACAACAAGAUUUCUGCUAUGGUGUUUUUCCUGGAUUAGUUUGCUCUUCACACCUGCAAACAGUUUCAGUCUGCAGUUAAUUAAGAUCAACGUUGGAGAAGCCAAAGAUGACCCCAUAGUUGAAAUACUUCUUUUAUCUUGCAUGCUUUAUCUAAUAGAAUUCAUUAAGUUCAUUUUAUUCAAAUUAAUUUUUUAUUUUGCAUGCUUAUCUUUGUUCAUUUUAUUU
Molecule: long non-coding RNA, 1005 nt
Filed under: Agrilus planipennis (emerald ash borer)
Lineage: Eukaryota; Metazoa; Arthropoda; Insecta; Coleoptera; Buprestidae
Description: uncharacterized LOC108739731, transcript variant X3
Source: RNAcentral